AUAAUAAACAGCAUCGUUUUGAUGCAGGCAGGGCUGCCGGCUCCCCAAGCCUCCUCCCUGCGAUAACAACCCAGGUCUCAAGCUCUCCAUCGCUUACCCCCUGCAGGCGUGAAUCAUCUUCAGAACUGGCAACAUCGCUACUUUCAUUGGGUGUCUCAACAGCUUCUUUCUCUAUCUUAAUGGGCAUACUGGACUUACGAGACUUCUUCUUGGGGAGCAUGUCAAAUGGCAAUUCAUUGGAAACAAGCUGCUCUGGUAUGGAGGAUGAAACAAGAGGCAGAGAAGGAAGAGUACCUGGAGUAUUGGCAAGCUCAGCUGGUGUGACUGGACUACGGUAAAAAGGAAGAACGGGCUGUACUGUCUUCAGGUUUGGAAAGAGGACACCAUUAUGUCCAAUACUGGAAAAUCCCACCUGGCCUUUUGAAUCUGUACAAGAGCUGGCAUAGUUGGAAAUAGUUCUGCUAUCCGGAGUUAAAAUUGUGAAUUCUGUCCUUUUACUAUCUCCAGGUCCAGCAAUGGUCAAACCAUUUCUUAGAUCUUUAUCCCUGUUAUUUCUGUUCAUUGGCAUAUGGAGUCUGGGGUUAGGAUUUGCACUAUGUCGAUUUCGACUACGCAAUGAGCUAAACACCAUAUUGCAGCCCUCAAUGGUGCAUUUGUGCUUUAUCUUCAGAUGAACAGCAUUGUAAUGUAUUUUCAAAGUACCUUUAUCGUAAAAUGUUUUUUCACAUGCAGUGCAGAAGACACGCCCUUUCCUUGGCCCAGCAUUCUUUUCAACAGAUUUCAUUUUGUUUUCUGGUGAUAGUGCUGUCAUUUCAAGCUUGGCUGCUGUAUUAUGUGAACUGGAAUCACUUAAAAGGGCAUCAUCUUCUGUUUUAGUGAUAUCUGGACCAUUUAUGCUCCUCUCAUUUUCAACCUGAAAUGGUGCAGAACUAGAAGUUAAGAAACUGUUUUCAGAAAAUGGUAUCUGAAGAUCUUGUUUGGUUUCGUUGCUAUGGUCUUGACCUUGCUCAAUCAAAUGUCUUUCUGGUGGUGAACCUAUCAAAGGUGGAGGCACUGGACUGAAAAACUGAAAUGGCAGCAUGAAAGCCAUACUAUUUACAAUAUUCUCAAAGGGAUGAAUGCUGGUGGGACUCAUUUUGUCCAAGGAAGCAGAAAAAUUAGGACUGUGUGGGUUGCAGCUCUCAAUGAAUGCCCUAAUAUCCAAAUUGGCAGUUGGUGGUGGUAUUAUGAUGGACUGCCCUUCUUUCUCUUGAAUUGCCAUUAGCUCUACAAUGGACUUAGUUUCUCCAAAGCGAAGGAACUGCUGCAAAGUAGCCAGUUCUUCUUCAGUGGUCAUUAUGCUCCAGUGAUCCAACACCUUUCCUGAAGCAUCCUAAAGCAAAAAAUAUUUAAAUGCGUUAGACAUUAGUUAAGGCAAACAAAAAACACUUCCCCUCAAAUCUCUCAUGUUUUUCAGGGACUAAAAUUUAUUCUCUAGCAAAAAAUCAAAAACACUCCAUUUAAUGACAUUAAUGUGAAUUCUGUGAUAAUUUCUUCCAAAUUUUAUCACAUUGGUGAUAUUAUUUCUUCCUGAACUGACAGUAAUAGUUUCCAAUAAACUAUUUUUUUUGCACAAAAAUUAAGACACGUUAUUUGAACAACAGAUAGUAUCCUGUAAGCACAGACAGGAGAGAUGGAGCAAUCAGACCAAGAUUUAGCUCCUCAUUUAAGUCAAGUAUUCUUUCAUUGCAAGUUUAAUAAUCUUCCAAGCAACUAAGAUCAGAGAACAAAUGAACCUAUAUUGAUCUAUUGCCAGUUUUCACAGAGCACAGCUGUAAUUACACUAGUGUUGGAGUUCUUUCAAACUCUAGCUAUGCCUAACUUUUCCCAAUAACUACAAUAAAUAUUUUAUCACAGAACAUGUAUUUGAUGGCCUACUGAGAUUUUUCACAGUGCAUGUAAGAGUUUCUAAGAUGAUGAAGAACGUAACAUUAUAAAUUUUUCAUGUGAUAGAGGUUCAAGGUAAUUGAUUCCAUAUUUUUAAUCCUAACACUAAAAAGCAAGAUUAUCAAGACCAUUAAAUAUUGAUUCAUGUCAUAAUGUAAGAUCAUAAUGUUACUUUACAUAAAAGGUAACUUCCACAGCAGCAAGGACUAACAUCAGUGUAAGCACAUGGGGCCAAAUACACUCUGGCUGCAGCUCCAGUAAGGUCGAUAGCACUACCAGAGAUGAAUAUUGUCCCUGGUGUUUUAAAUAAUGGUAAGUUUAUUUCUUGAUGUAUUAUUCUGCUGUAUAAAAGCAAACUCACUGUUUAAACAAUACUGGAACAAGUUCUAAAGCCUUUACAUUACCAGUAACUUUUGAUCUUUAUUUUUUGCUUACCUUUGUUGUUAGAUUUGAGCAAAUAGAAAGAUUUCAAUUAAGUCCAACUAAGAAAUAAACCAAUCACUAGAAAUCCACCUUUUCUUUUCUGGCAUUAAGCUUGCACAGGUUUAUUACUGCCUUUCACAUGUGCCACACUGUUAACACAUUGUGAACCACUGAGAAGAUUAAGAUAGAAAACUACUUAACUGUCAUAUUUCUAUUUCACAUGCCCCUCUAAAUACCUGUAGCACAUAUCCACGUAUAUAAUCCUGCAGUGUCCAAUCCAGAGCAUGGAGAAUCUGUAUCACCUCUUCCUGCUUCAGAACACUGAAUAGCCGAUCGAGCAGAAUUUUAAGGCGCACGGGAAUGGCUUGGGUUCCGUACAACAUGAGGCUACUGAUAUCAAAGACAACAUUGGAUUGAACUAUUUCUACUUGGCUUGAUGGGUAGAGGUUUGGAAUCCUUAGUUUGCUCAGGGCUGAAAAUAAAAAUCACAAAAUGUAAA
Molecule: non-coding RNA, 2848 nt
Organism: Taeniopygia guttata (zebra finch)
Lineage: Eukaryota; Metazoa; Chordata; Aves; Passeriformes; Estrildidae
Source: RefSeq, a predicted model, not a curated record